UAAUGUAAAGCACAAUGUUUAAAGGUCCCUUCUUUUUUUUUGAAACAAGGCAAAAGAUUUGCCAUUUCAUUGAUUAAGAAGAAGGUUUAGACAGGCCACGAAGUGGCAAGAAAUAAAAUCUACUCUCGCGGCAUUACAACACUCAAAUUCUUGGCGCCCGCCAACGCCCAAAGCGACAACAACUCUUUUAUCUUACUAAUGACGACCGUCGUAGGUGCGGCGGUGUUGCGGAAAACUCUAGCAUUGCGCUCCGUCCAAAUUUCCCAGGAGAUUAGAAUCUUUAGUGAGGCGAGCAUCUUGGGGGAUUCAGAACGAAGAUAUACGUUUCCAUUCCACCAUUCCCACACCGAGCCCCUCGCUGACCAAGAAGUAGCCUGAGUGUGAUCCAUGCCAAGCCAACGAAGAAUAUCGUUCCACACACGAAGGGUGUAGCGACAUUGGAACAGUAAGUGGGCUGCCGUCUCUGGGCUUUGCUUGCAAAGCGGGCAUAGCCCGCAGUUGGGCCACCCACGUCGAGCAAGGCGGUCCGAUGUCCAGAUUCUAUCUUGAAGUACAAGCCAUGCGAAAAAUUUGCACCGCGGAGGAGCCCACACCUUCCACACCGAUAGGACCAUGGUUGACGUAGUUAGGCCCUCAAACUGCGCCUUGUAAGCCGAGGAAGCUGAGUACGAUCCGUCCUUGGUGAACUUCCAAAUAAUGGAAUCCUCCACGUCCUCAUCCAGAGUGACCGAGUCAAUCUUCUCCCAAAGUGCGACGAACUGGUGGACAUGGUCUACUGUGAGACCGUCGGAGAAGUCAAUAUGAGAGAUCCAAGUGUUGUUUGUUAAAGCAUGUUUGACCGAGCAGUUUUUCCUUCGGGAGAGGUCGAAAAUGCCAGGCGCUAGGUCCCGUGGGUGCAUGCCAUCAAGCCAGGAGGAGUUCCAGAACUUAGCCACAUGCCCAUUGCCAACCGUGACAGAAGUGGCAGCUGCAAAAAAGUCCCUGUCUUCAUCAGUGCAUGGCGUACCCAUACCAAUCCACGGUCUUGUGGGCUCUUGCCACUCGAACCAGAGCCAUCGAAGCCUAAGAGCCUUAGCAAACUUGUCCAAGUUGAGCACACCUAAGCCACCAUGCUUCUUAGGCUUGCAAACAAGGUCCCAAUUGACUUUGCAUUUCCCACCAGAAACCUUGUCGGUGGCCGCCCAAAGAUAGGCGCGACGGAUAGAAUCAAUCUUUCUGAGGACCUUAGCUGGGAUGUUGAGCGGCGUGAGGUGCUAAAUGGCAAUGGCAGUGAGAACAGCUUUGACAAGGAUGGCCCGACCGGCGGUAGCGACAUGUCUUCCUUGCCACGGAGGGAGUUUGCCAGCCACCUUAUCCUCAAGGUGCUGAAAGUGGAUCCUCUUGAGGCGCUUGACUGAUAAUGGUAGUCCAAGAUAUCUCAUUGGAAAGGACGUGCGGACAGCCGGAAAAGCAUGAAGAAUGUCUUGAAGAUCGACACUUUCACAACGAAUCGGGGCGACAAGGCUUUUAGCACAGUUAGUGACUAAACCGGUAACCUCUCCAAAGGAAGCCAGGACAGAAGCAAAAUACUGGAUGUCCUCCUUGAUGGGCUUGACAAAGAUGGCUGCAUCAUCAGCAUAAAGAGAGGCACGAAUGAUCAUUGUCCUACCACAGAGAGGAUGGAGGUGCCCUUGAGAUGUAGCCUUGUUUAGGAGAUGGUGCAGGGGGUCAAUUGCCAGCACGAACAGUAACGGGGAGAGUGGGUCACCUUGCCUAAGACCACGGCCAUGCUUCAGAGGGUCACCCAAAAUUCCGUUGAUCAAGACCCUUGAGGAGGAUGUGGAAAGGAGUGCCGAAACCCAGUCACGAAAUCUGCUCGGGAAGCCCAAGUGCCUUAGAAGAUCCAAGAGGAAAUCCCACCGCACGGAGUCAAAAGCUUUCUUGAUGUCAAGUUUGAAUAGUAGCAUCGGCGUCUUGUUGCGGUGGAAUUUCCUUGCCAAGCUUCUCACAUACGUGAAAUUAUCAUGGAUGCUCCUCUUCUUGAUGAAUGCGCUUUGAGCAUUAGAGACAAGGUUCUGCAUGUGUGGUGCAAGUCUGGAGGCCAUGACCUUAGCGAUAAUCUUGGCAAUGGCAUGGAUGAGGCUAAUGGGACGGAAAUCUGAGAUGCAUUCCGCCCCAUCCUUCUUUGGAAUGAGGGCAAUGUUUGCGGAGUUGAGCCAAUGAAGGUUGGAUGUAUGCAAGCUCGAGAAAUGGUUGACUGCGUUCAUAAUGUCGCCCUUGAUGAUUUCCCAACAGUCAUUGAAGAAGGCCCCGGUGAAGCCGUCCGGACCCGGCGCUUUGUCACUCGGCAUAUCAAAGAUCGCCUUCUUGACCUCCUCUUCCGUGAAGGCAGCCCCAAGGUCAGAGAGAUCGCAAGCGGGGGUUGGGAUGUGAUUCCAGUUGAUAUCAAUGUUGCGGGGCGGCCCCCUCUUGGUGACCUCCACGAAAUGGUUUUGGAUGAUGGAUUUUUUAUGCUCAUGCUCUGUGACCCAUCCACUGUUAUGCCUAAGGCGGUGAAUGAAAUUCUUGCGCCUUCUAUGAUUGACUCGGAGGUGAAAGAAACAAGUGUUGGCAUCUCCAUCUUUGAGAUUGGUAAUUCUCGAGCAUUGCCUUUUCCGCGCACGCUCGAGCACGGACAAGCUAACCACCUUGCGCUUGAGCCUCCUACGAAUAUCCAGCUCCUCUGCACUCAAAGGACGGCAUUCUUGGGCCACAUCCAGACGGAGAAUGACCUCUAGGGCCAUAUGUGUUUGUACCUUCGAAUGCGCAAAUAUUGUCUUGCUCCAUUUCCUAAGCACCUGACUUGUCUUCUUCAUCUUGUGGAAGAGGACGUGGUAAGGAUCUACAUGGUUCACCUCUUGGUUCCAUGCACUGUUGACGACCUCCUUGAAUCUGGGCAUCUUGAUCCAAAAGUUUUCAAAGCGGAAUGAUUUGGUCCUCGGUGGCCCUUUGUCAUUUGCGAGGAGGAGAGGGCAAUGGUCGGAGAGCGACGAGGAGAGAGCAUGUAGGAGGUGCGUGCCAAAGUGCAGGUCCCAUUCUUCAUUGCGGAAAAAGGAAUCUAGCUUGCUUAAGGUUGGGUCAUUUCGCUCAUUACUCCAUGUAAACUUCCUGUUUUGAAGAUGUAUCUCUUUUAGCUCGCACGCAUUGAGGGCGUUACGAAAGCGAACGAUGCGACUUCGGUCAACAUUCGCAUGGUUCUUGUCUCUCGCGCGGUAAAUUUGAUUAAAAUCCCCAUUAACCAACCACCUUUCGCCAGGGUGGGGCUUCUCGCUGACCAAUUCUUGGAAGAAGCCGUCUUUAAGGCUGCUUCUCGUCGGGUCGUACACGGUUGUGAGCUUGAAGGAUUCACCCGACGAGGAUAGGGAGACUUUGGCUGAGAGGAAGAAAGCACCAAUGUUUACAUCUUGGAUUUUGACAAAAUUUUCGUCCCAGAGAAGAAGGAUUCCGCCUCGAGUGCCAACAGACAGGCGUUGAGCAAAACUCUUUAACCGAUGUCCCCCUAGAAAAGAAGCAAUGAACGGGUCAACGUUCUGGAGCUUGGUGUCCUGGAGACACACAACGUGACACGGAGUGGCGGUGAUGGUCUCAUGGAUGGUGGCGCGGCGAUCAGGACAGUUCAAACCUCGGACAUUCCAGCACAAAAUACUCAAGUUUUGGUCUAACAUAAUUGAUAGCAGAUUACACCAUGGCCAAGCUUGGCAGAACUAGCAUCAGGAACACGUGGGAGCGUCACUAGAGAAGAAAUACUUGACAGCAGAUAGCAGAUUACAACAUGGUCAAGCUUGGCAGAACUAGCAUCAGGAACACAUGGAAGCGUCACGAGAGCAGAAUUACUUGACAGCAGCAAACAAACGUGUACGUAGGCCUCACCAGGGCAGGUAGCAGCGAUCACCAGGACCAGCAGCAAACAGGCGAACACUCUAAGGGUUGUAGCUAUCAUUGGAAACAGAGUACGACCACAGUGGCUGGCCUCGUCCAGCUUACGCCGCCUCCUCGGCAACCUCCUCUCCAGGCCGCUGCAGGUCCGGUCCAGCUUCACCACCAUGCUCCACAAGCGCAUCUUCAACUGCCUGCGCCAGGUCGCAGUCGAGGUUGAACAGGGCUCUAAGAGCAGAAAUUGUGAUGUCCGGCAGCCUCCCCUGGAACAUGGCAACGAACUUGCCGAUGGCCUCAUCGGUAGCCUGCUGGCCCUCGUCGAUGAUGCCCAUACGUUGGCAGAGCAGCCUCUCUGCCAUCUGUACAACCGGCAUUGCCCUGUUCUUGGUCUGAAGACGCGGACUGCGCCUGCUCAGGUUGAAGCCCGAAACGCCUGCCAGCGUCUUCCGUCGCGCCGCGGGCCGUCUUGGAGCCGUGGAGCUAGGUGCAGGAAGCAGGGGUGGCUGGCGAGCCACAAACAGCGGGGAGUGCACAUCGGACGCUGCCUGGCUCCCAGGCGGGCUUGACAUCGGGAUGUGGAUGGGUGUGACCGGCUCAGGCUCCACGGUCGGCGAGGGGGCAGCCUGGCGGGGCUGCCAGCUGCUAGGAGAGGAGGACGGCUGCAGAUGGAUGACGUCACGUCCCGUUGUGCGGGGGGAAGUGGGUGGCUGCACCUCAAUGACAUUGCUUCCCAAUGAGCGGGGGGAAGCCAGCUGCGUCUCCGGUGAUGCGGGGCGAAUCGAAGCUUGUCGCGCCAUGAGCCCAAAGCAGGGGGCGACCCACCGUAGCCAGGAAGCAUCAGCAAGGGAGGAGCCGGCCACCGCGAUGUCGCGGGAGGUGGUGCGCGGGGAAGGUGGCGGGGAGCGGCCGCGGGUUUCUUCAGUGACUGGGCUAGCAGCAGCACCGGAGCGCCCCACCCUAGACACGCAGUCAGCAGGACGACGGCGGCCACGCCGGCCGGAGGCAGGAAGGACCGAGCCAUCCGGGAGGCGCUGAACCCGCCUAAGGUCGAUGGAGCGAGCGUCAGGGGUAGCUGCGCCGAGCCCCCUACGUCUUCCGUCACGGCCACCCUCCCGGCGGUCGUCUCUGUCAUCGCGGUGGCCGCCGCGGUGGUCACGGCGGUUGUCAUCGUCGCGCCGCUUCGGGGCGCGAGACCUGCUGCGGAAGAUGCGUUCCCGUCAGGAGGAGGGUCGAUCUUCACGGCCCCUACGCCCACGGUCACGAUCAUCGUCCGUGCGGUCGCGGUCGCGGUCGUGGUCCUCAUCUCUGCGCCGUCCAGCCAUCUCCGAGCUGUCGCGCAUCCUGGACUCGCCGUCGAUGUAUCCCUUCCGCCAGGUGAGAGGAUGCGAUGAGCGUGGCCGGCUGGGGAUGUCGCCGUUGGCACCAGGGGUGAAAUCCUCCACCAUGGUGAGGUGCACCAGGACCCGCCUCUUCAGAGCAUGCCUGCCCACAGCGGCACUCGGGCCCGAGGAGUAGCCCGCCGGCUGCUUGCCGGUGACAGUGAGGCGGAGGACCUUGGGGAUGACAGAGGGGUUGGCCGACCACGCCCAAAGGUUGAACGUGGAGGCGUCCUCCCGGCGCACGGUUUCCACAUCGAAGUAGUGGAGGAAGGUGUCGGGGCCGAGGACCUGGGUGGCCACCUCGUCGCACCAGGCAUUGAGCGGGAGGUUCUCAAUGCAGAGGUGGACGUGGUAGAACGCUUCCACCGAGUCCGCAUGUGCCUCGAGACGCCACUUAGCAGCAUGAAUGUCGAGGCCGUCGUAGCUGAACUGCCCCGGUGACGCCGUGAGCAGGUCACGGUGGUGCUGGAAGGUGAAGAGGACGAAGAAGUCUUCCGGAAAGUGCGGCACCACUUUGAUGUAGUUGCGAUUGAUGACAAACUUGGUGGCGAUGGCGCUCCUUAUCUCCGCCGCGUCAACGCGGGGCUGGUUGCCUCCAAGCCACACCACCGCGCCCAGGUUGGACAGAGUGGCCGCACUGUCCUCCAUAGCAGGCGUGGAGGUGAUGACGACAUGCGCCUCCUCUGGACGCAGAGCGGGGUCACCCACGCGCGGCAUCACCGGAGCGCGACGUAGCAGGGUCGGCGACGGGACCAAGGAAGCGAUCGGGGCGGGCGCUGGGCUUCUCGAAGAGGGAGGCGAGGCCGUGCAGUCCUUGGCGCGGUGACCGCACCCCCGACACGCGCGGCACUUGAACGGAUUCCGACAGUCCGCCUUGCAGUGGCCCUUGUCCAAGCAGCGGUGGCAAGUGUGAUACUUGUGCUUGAUGAAGGAGCCGCGACCAGGAGGGGAAAAAGAAGCCAGGGCCCUCCUGCACCUUGAAUACUGGUGGUUGGGGAGCGCUCUCCACCAGUAUGGUGGCUUUACGAUCUGCCAACCCUCCAUCGAGCUGUCGCUGGAAGACGCGGGGGGCACAGGGCUCGAGCUUGGCGCUGGGCUGGAGCGACGGGACGUCCCGGCCACCCGCCGGCCGGUCUUGAAAGCUCCUGCAGGCGCCGUCUUGAGGCAUGGCCGGUGUGCGCCAUGAAUGGAGGGUGGUGGAGUGGAGUCCAGCACGACCGCAUUGAUGGCGAAUCUGACAGCGCGUGGCCGAGGCGACGCACCACAGUCCACCAUAGCAUCCUCCGGAUGGGAGUCGGCGGCGAAGGACGAGCCUGAGGCAGCAGGCAGGCGCAGCGGCGAUGCAAGAUCCGGAGAGCCGACCUCCAGAUGCGGCAGGCAGAGGGGGCCCGAGCCCGCCGCGGCCGCACACCGGGCGGAGAAACCAGGAGGGAAGGGCGGCGUCGGCGGGGAUCCGGCCUGGGGGCGGACCUGGGCGGUGGCGGCGGCGGCGGUGGUGGCUGCGGGCGCCGGGGUGGCGCGCCGCAGGAGCGUGGGCGAGUACAUGAGCGUUCCUUUUCUUUCCCCAAAAGGUCCCUUCUAAAGUUGACGAGCAAUUAUUUUCUUAAUUAACUAGUAACUACUACAUUAAAUGCUAUAACUUAUUGUUUGUUAACAUGUUUAUAUUUUUGUACUAACUAAAUUUCAUCUCCUAAAUAUUGUAUCUUGAAACUGGUGCAAAUGUGUGGUCUUGUAACUAGCUACUGAGGUUGGAGGCUGAUGGUCGUGAAGUUUGAUAUUUUAAUGGUUGUGAACACAAAAACUUCUAAGAUAGAUGGGAACUUCGAUGUGCGUAUUGACAAUAUUUGAGCUACUUUUGUUUUAUAAUGUGGAUGAGGUAGACAUCAAGCCUGUAGUGCUGAGAUUGAACUUGUACCGGG
RNAcentral lists this long non-coding RNA (7192 nucleotides) under Triticum aestivum (bread wheat). RNAcentral's name for it is "long non-coding RNA (TAES_LNC006903)". Lineage: Eukaryota; Viridiplantae; Streptophyta; Magnoliopsida; Poales; Poaceae. The record is from RNAcentral.